UGCCCCUUAGCUCAGUUGGUUAGAGCAGCUGACUGUUAAUCAGCGAGUCCGCGGUUCGAGUCCGCGAGGGGCAGCCA
RNAcentral lists this transfer RNA (77 nucleotides) under Methylococcaceae bacterium TMED69. Its description in RNAcentral is "tRNA-Asn". It matches the Rfam family "tRNA". Rfam says of the family: Transfer RNA (tRNA) molecules are approximately 80 nucleotides in length. Their secondary structure includes four short double-helical elements and three loops (D, anti-codon, and T loops). Lineage: Bacteria; Pseudomonadati; Pseudomonadota; Gammaproteobacteria; Methylococcales; Methylococcaceae. The record is from RNAcentral.